RNAcentral lists this ribosomal RNA (2055 nucleotides) under Triticum aestivum (bread wheat). RNAcentral describes it as "partial small subunit ribosomal RNA". The record is from RNAcentral. Lineage: Eukaryota; Viridiplantae; Streptophyta; Magnoliopsida; Poales; Poaceae.
AUGGCUGUGCCGAGGGCGCAUGCCGGUCACCGGUUGCGUUGUGUGCUGGCAGUGGUGUGUGCCUUGUGCUGGGCAUCGUCCUCUGUUAGGUUCGUGGCGGGUCAGGCCGGGCAGCUGAGCGUGGACGCCUCGCCGCAGACUGCGAGGAAGAUGCCUGACAAGAUGUUCGGCAUCUUUUUUGAGGAGAUCAACCAUGCUGGUGCUGGUGGGUUGUGGGCAGAGCUUGUGAGCAACAGAGGUUUUGAGGCCGGUGGGCCUAAUACACCAUCAAACAUCGAACCAUGGUUCAUAAUUGGAAAUGAAUCAAGCAUCAUCGUGGGAACCGAUCGGACAUCUUGUUUCGAACGUAACCCGGUCGCACUCCGAAUGGAAGUUCUUUGUGGUUCUAAAGGAACUAAUGUCUGUCCAUCCGGAGGCGUUGGGGUCUACAAUCCUGGUUACUGGGGCAUGAACAUUGAAAGAAGGAAGGGUUAUAAGGUGAGCCUGCACAUUAGGUCUUCAGAUGCAGUUUCCUUGACCAUUUCUUUGACAAGCUCUGACGGUCUGCACAAACUCGCUUCUCGCACCAUCACGGGCGGCAAGAAACAAUUCACCAACUGGACAAAGAUACAGUUUCGUUUGUAUUCCAGCCAAAACAACACUAAUUCAAGGCUUCAAAUUACAACCACUAAAACUGGAGUGGUCUGGCUCGAUCAAGUGUCGGUUAUGCCAUCGGACACUUACAUGGGACAUGGUUUUCGGAAGGAUCUUGCUUCCAUGUUGGCCAAUUUAAAGCCCCAGUUUCUCAAGUUUCCAGGCGGUAACUAUGCCAUGGGACAAUAUCUAAGAAAUGCGUUUCAUUGGGGCGAAACUGUGGGUCCAUGGGAGGAAAGACCUGGCCAUGUCAAUGAUGCCUGGGGAUACUGGACUGACGACGGACUCGGAUUCUUUGAGUUCCUUCAGUUAGCUGAAGACCUUGGUGCUUCCCCUGUUUGGGUGGUGAAUGAUGGAGCAAGCAUUAACGAAGAAGUUCCUACUGCAAUAAUUGCAUCUCUGGUGAAGUAUUGCUACCACCUUCUUGGCCUUCCCUGCAUUUUCAUGCUUGUAGUAUUCCAGGAUGUUGUUGAUGGCAUCGAGUUCGCAAGGGGAGGGGUCAACACUACAUGGGGUUCAGUUCGUGCGGCAAUGGGACAUCAACAACCUUUUAAGCUUGAUUAUGUUUCAAUAGGGAAUCAAGAAUGCUGGAUGCUCUACUACAGAGGGAAUUACCAAAAGUUCUAUUCUGCGAUUAAAGCUGCAUACCCUGACAUCAACAUUAUAUCAAGCUGUGAUAAGUCAACUAUUUCGGCAUCCAACCCUGCCGAUCUGUAUGAUGUUCAUGUCUAUGCAUCUUCUGCUAAUAUGUUUUCCAGAACCAGUAUGUUUGACAACACACCACGCAGCGGACCGAAGGCCAUUGUUAGCGAGUACGCCGUGACUGGAAACGACGCUGGCAAAGGAACACUGGUAGCAGCACUUGCAGAAGCUGCAUUUCUCGUUGGAUUAGAGAAGAACAGUGAUGUGGUCGAGAUGGCAAGCUGCGCACCGCUGUUUGUAAAUGACAACGAUCGCAAGUGGAGCCCAGAUGCCAUUGUGUUCAACUCAUGGCAGCACUACGGAUGCCCAAACUACUGGAUGCUACACUUCUUCAAGGACUCGAGCGGCGCCACCUUUCACCCCACAACCAUGCAAGUCUCCAACUACGAUCAGAUGGUUGCAUCUGCCAUUACGUGGCAGAGUCCUAAAGACAAGAGCACUUACCUGAAAAUAAAGGUCGUGAACUUCGGCAGCAAAGCCGUGGAUCUCAACAUAACGGUGACGGGUCUGGAGAGCGGCAUCAAGAGCUCCGGCUCGAAGAAGACGGUGCUAACAUCCGGCGCGCCACUCGACGAGAACUCCUUCGAACAGCCAGAAAAGGUGGCGCCGGUGUUGAGCCCGGUGGCCGACGCCAAGCAGCAGAUGGGCGUGUCAGUGAGCCCUUACUCCCUCACAUCGUUCGAUCUCCUGCUGGAGCCCAGCAAGCACUCGGCAAUAUGA